Molecule: ribosomal RNA, 504 nt
Filed under: uncultured bacterium
Lineage: Bacteria
Description: bacterial SSU rRNA
Rfam family: Bacterial small subunit ribosomal RNA
Source: RNAcentral
AGAGUUUGAUCAUGGCUCAGGACGAACGCUGGCGGCGUGCUUAACACAUGCAAGUCGAGCGGUAAGGCUCCUUCGGGAGUACACGAGCGGCGAACGGGUGAGUAACACGUGAGCAAUCUGCCCUUCACAUCGGGAUAACUUCGGGAAACCGAAGCUAAUACCGGAUACGACCAUCGAUGGCAUCUUCUGAUGGUGGAAAGUUCCGGCGGUGGAGGAUGAGCUCGCGGCCUAUCAGCUUGUUGGUGGGGUAAUGGCCUACCAAGGCGACGACGGGUAGCCGGCCUGAGAGGGUGACCGGCCACACUGGGACUGAGACACGGCCCAGACUCCUACGGGAGGCAGCAGUGGGGAAUAUUGGACAAUGGGCGAAAGCCUGAUCCAGCAACGCCGCGUGAGGGAUGACGGCCUUCGGGUUGUAAACCUCUUUCAGCAGGGACGAAGCGAAAGUGACGGUACCUGCAGAAGAAGCACCGGCCAACUACGUGCCAGCAGCGGCGGUAAUUC